Long non-coding RNA from Marmota monax (woodchuck), 1873 nucleotides. RefSeq lists it as uncharacterized. The record is from RefSeq and is a predicted model, not a curated record. NCBI's taxonomy places the organism in Eukaryota, Metazoa, Chordata, Mammalia, Rodentia, Sciuridae. The transcript is spliced from 3 exons.
AGCGGGGGCUGGUUGCUUCUCAUCUGGGCUGUGGCCUGGGCUGGGUCAUCAGGACGACUGGGCUGCUACUGGCGUUUAGUGGACAGCGUUGGCACAGCCUUCCCCCACCCAGAAACGUCCCCCCCCAAAUGCCCACAGAGGCCCUGUGGAGGGACGCCUGGCGCAUGGGCUUUCAUCAGACAGAGGCGGUGCGUGGGAACCCGGCAGAUACGACAGAGGCAAAGGGGCAAGUGUGGCUCCGGCUGGCGCGGGCCCAGAGCCCUGCCCACCGUGGACCCUGCCCAGUGUGAACUCCCUCCGGGGCCUGACGUCCAGGGCCUCUACAGCUCGGCUGUUCUUGGUGUUCUGAUGGACCCAGAACAGGGCCCUGAUGGAUGAUGGUGUCAGCAGACAGUUAAGUGUCAGGCCUGUGCUGAGUGUGCUGUGGUCUCAUUUCAACCUCCAUUCAAUGUCCUAAGCAGAGAACUGGCUUGAAUCACCUUGUCUACAGUGACCAGGAGUUUACAGGAAGAAUGAGCAUCUGUGACCUUAAACCUCCAGAAAUAGCAACCCUGGCCUCCUCUGCUGAAGAAGGCUUCGCUGCCUCCUGGGCUUAUUUUCGUCACAAAGGGCCCCAUGCUGGCCAAGGACACCUCUGACUUAAGUUACUCUCUUGGCCCCAAAUCAUCUCUUGCCACAAGCAGAAGUAGCAACAGUCAAGGAAUAGGAGGAGGUUUGGUCUCAGUGCUGGGCUAGCCACAUGUUCAUUCCUUGCCCUGGAUGAGAACGUUAAUUAAUUUUUUUGACCCCUUUUUUUUUUGGUACCAGGGAUUGAACCCAGGGUGCUUAGCCACUGAGGCACACCCCACCUCUUUUUUAUUUUAUAUUUUGAGACAGGAUCUUGCUAAGUUGCAGAGGACAUCACUAAGUGGCUGAGUCUGGCCUCAAACAUGUGAUCCUCCAGGUUCAGCCUCCCAAAUUGCUGGGAUUACAGGUCUGAGCAAACACACCUGGUGACCUUUGUGUUUUUGAAUAGUUUAUCUGCAACAUGGGAUGGAGAAUCAAAUCUCCUCAGGUUAUCUCCUAAGAUGAUGCCUGUGAAAAUCCCCUUCACACAGCAUGACACAUUUAGAUGCUCAUAUAUGUUUGAUGGAUUCUAAUCCUAAUCAAUCACAGGACUUUAUCAGUUUAGUUGCAAAUGCUAGAAAAAUCCCCCAAGUAGCAAUAGCUGUGAACAGAGAGUUUAUUUCUCUCUCUCAUAUAGUGGACAUCUGAAGGCAGGAGGCCCAUGGCUGGGAGGUGACUCCUCUUUGUCAGGCUCUCCAGCACCUACUACCUUGCUGCUCCUUCACCCUUGGAGUAUUGCCUUAUGGUCCAAGAUGCUGCCCAGGCUGCUCCUACCUGCAUGUCAGGUAAGGGGAAGAGGAAGUACGGGAAAGCCUGCAGCCCUCCCUUCAAGGAGAUUUCUUGGCAGUCCUGAGUGACACACCUGCUUGAUUUCAUGGAUCAGACCUUGCAUACAGCUCACGUGGACCUGCCAGGGAGGAGGGGCAAUGGAAACCGAGCUGGAUGGCACUGAGCUAGUUACUGGAUUCUUUGAAGAAAGAAAAGGGAAAGAUAAAUUGGUAGGCAUAUUCUGACCCAGUGACCUUGACCAAAUCACUUUUCCUCAUUGGACUUUAGCUCCUCAUCUACAGGAAUUGAUGUGUGUGUGUGUGUGUGUGGGGGGCACUGUUGGCAUCUUGGGUGACACAAGUCUUCACUGUGUACAACUAUUAAAGGCCAGUAGCAUCCUUAGGCAUGGUGACAGUUCCCAGGCUAAUAAUCCCACUCUUUCAGGGGGACAAUACUACCUGCUGUUGGGAAUCUGUGGACAAGAUGUUCUAAAGUCUAA